UUAGGAAUAUUGGGCAAUGGAGGAAACUCUGACCCAGCAACGCCGCGUGAAGGAAGAAGGUUUUCGGAUUGUAAACUUCUGAUCUAUGGGAAGAAGAGAAUGACGGUACCAUAGGAGAAAGCCACGGCUAACUACGUGCCAGCAGCCGCGGUAAUACGUAGGUGGCGAGCGUUGUCCGGAAUAACUGGGCGUAAAGGGAGCGUAGGUGGCUCUGUAAGUUAGGUGUGAAAGCCCGAGGCUCAACUUCGGAAUUGCACUUAAAACUGUGGAGCUAGAGUACAGGAGGGGUAAACGGAAUUUCUAGUGUAGCGGUGAAAUGCGUAGAUAUUAGGAAGAACACCAGAGGCGAAGGCGGUUUACUGGACUGCAACUGACACUGAGGCUCGAAAGCGUGGGGAGCAAACAGG
This 407-nucleotide ribosomal RNA is filed under the name uncultured bacterium. RNAcentral's name for it is "bacterial SSU rRNA". It matches the Rfam family "Bacterial small subunit ribosomal RNA", at positions 355 to 776 of the family's 1533-position model. The record is from RNAcentral.